Molecule: unclassified non-coding RNA, 211 nt
Filed under: soil metagenome
Description: partial contains 5.8S ribosomal RNA, internal transcribed spacer 2, and large subunit ribosomal RNA
Source: RNAcentral
AACGAGGCCGACCUGCGGCUGAGUUACCUGCGGAAGGAUCAUUACCGAGUUUACAACUCCCAAACCCCUGUGAACAUACCAAUUGUUGCCUCGGCGGAUCAGCCCGCUCCCGGUAAAACGGGACGGCCCGCCAGAGGACCCCUAAACUCUGUUUCUAUAUGUAACUUCUGAGUAAAACCAUAAAUAAAUCAAAACUUUUAACAACGGAUCU